Molecule: ribosomal RNA, 463 nt
Filed under: Vreelandella stevensii
Lineage: Bacteria; Pseudomonadati; Pseudomonadota; Gammaproteobacteria; Oceanospirillales; Halomonadaceae
Description: partial 16S ribosomal RNA
Rfam family: Bacterial small subunit ribosomal RNA
Source: RNAcentral
CCUACGGGGGCUGCAGUGGGGAAUAUUGGACAAUGGGCGAAAGCCUGAUCCAGCCAUGCCGCGUGUGUGAAGAAGGCCUUCGGGUUGUAAAGCACUUUCAGUGGGGAAGAAAGCCUUGGGGCUAAUACCCUCGAGGAAGGACAUCACCCACAGAAGAAGCACCGGCUAACUCCGUGCCAGCAGCCGCGGUAAUACGGAGGGUGCGAGCGUUAAUCGGAAUUACUGGGCGUAAAGCGCGCGUAGGCGGUCUGAUAAGCCGGUUGUGAAAGCCCCGGGCUCAACCUGGGAACGGCAUCCGGAACUGUCAGGCUAGAGGGCAGGAGAGGAAGGUAGAAUUCCCGGUGUAGCGGUGAAAUGCGUAGAGAUCGGGAGGAAUACCAGUGGCGAAGGCGGCCUUCUGGACUGACACUGACGCUGAGGUGCGAAAGCGUGGGUAGCAAACAGGAUUAGAUACCCCUGUGUC